Symphalangus syndactylus (siamang) is the source of this 1342-nucleotide long non-coding RNA. RefSeq lists it as uncharacterized. The record is from RefSeq and is a predicted model, not a curated record. Lineage: Eukaryota; Metazoa; Chordata; Mammalia; Primates; Hylobatidae.
UCUUUAUUGGCUGAAUGUGCUGUACUAGAUAUUUAAAAUAACACAAACAUUCAUGAUUGCAGUUUUUAAAUUUAGCUCACAGUUGAGUUAGAUACAACAGUUAACAUACUUAGGAAAGACAAUUCUUAACAGCUUUAUCAAGCACAUUUGUAAAAGAUUAAACUUUCAUUUCCAGUUACUAUGAUGUCCCCCAUACACCAAAUGAACCAACACAUUUAUUUUAAAUAAUGGAAACUGUACAUGGCUACACUGUGCUCUAAAAUUACAUUAAUGAGGACAUUAAUUUUAGCAUUUAAAAAAAGGGAUUUUAAAAUAACCAUAGAAAAAUUUGAAAACCCUGACAAGCCGACUACAAAGAAAGAAUUCCUCAGUUUUCAGAUGCAACGGUAUGAUGGAGUUGGAUGGGCAGCUGACUGUGAGAGAAGUCACGGUGACCUGAACCUAUUCCAGUAAAGCCAGUCAGCAGUGAAUGUGGGGCAACUGCACGCAGCUGGUCUACAGCUCCCACUGCCAGGUGACCAAGGAGCAUCCUGAAGUUUGAGAGAAGAGACUGUGUGACACCAACAUUCUUCCAGCUACUGAACAAGGUCCCUCAGCAGUCUCUCCGUGUGUCGUGGGAGCUGCCUGCGCUUCUGUGAACGGGACACUGAGAAAUGCUUCAAUAUGUGCCACGCCAUUCCAGAACACUCCCUGCAGAAGCAGCUCUUCCCGCAGCACUCAACCUUCUGCUGAGAUGCAAAAUAUAUUUUAAAAUGUAUUUUAAAGUCAUACAGGAUCUGAUCUAGUAAGAAUGGCAAAACAAAUACUUCUUGGGCAUUUCAAAUGAGGUCAUUUUAGUUGAAAUGUAUGCCAACACUUUUCGAAGUCAGAGGGAGAAAAAUGGCAAACCCAGUGUUUAAUACACCAAAUACCUUUAGGGUACUUAGAAAGUGAACAGUCUUAUUACUUGUUAUUUUCCUGGACUUGGCAGAUACCUAUGUUUUCAUCAUGGUUGAAGAAGCUGCUUGGAAACAGGUGAGCUGCAAGUGCAUGCCACUCUUAAACUUGUUCAGGAGCUCUUCCAGUAACCUGCAGGAAGGAGACACUUGUCUUACAGCCUGACAGAUGGGGUGGCCCUAGCAACACAAGAAAACACCAGGGGAGCCAGUGCCCGGCUCUGCCUGUGCUUGCUGUGUUGAGAAGGCAGCUGAAAGGUUCUAUCUAUGGAUCCUUAACUCAGCAAAAGAAACACAUCAAUCAAAGAAGUUGGUCAAAUAGGAUAUACUGAUACACGUAUUUAUGUUUGUAUAGAAACAUCCCCUUUCUAUCCCCUCCCAGGAUUAGAUUCCUCCCUAAUACAGAA